CAAAAUGCAUGUUUUUCUUGCUUUCGGCAACACCACCAUCUUCUGAUUUUCCAGGACAGAUAAUCAUAUCCAUUUUUUGACUGUCUGCUGGCUAUAUGCUGAUGAGUCUCAAAUAAAGAAGAAAACAUUUGGAUCAAAGAAACAGCAAAGAUGGGAGCCAUCAACACCUUUGAGCAAUGAAGAGGGAUUACAAGGACCAGUAGGGAGGAAGAAGAUAACUGUGUAAAAGAGAAAUGUAUGUACAACUACAGAGGCCUUUCGCUGGGAGCCAUUCAUCUGCCUCCUCACUGAAUAUAGGAACCAGACCAACUUGCCCACAGACAAUGUUGACAAAAUGAAACUGUGGGUGAAGAUGUUCUCCCACCAAGUGCAGAAGAAUCUGGCUUUGAGGCCUGGCCUGGGCUAUCUAGAAGGAAGUGACUACCAGCCUGGCCUAUCUGCCUGAAUGGAAGGAAAAUAUUAUGAAAUUAUGUCCCUCACACAGAUGCCCCACUGAAAUUGAAGUCGAGAAGUGCAAAAAAGAAUUGACACAUCUCAGCAAAGAAAUUGGAAUUGAUUUCAUGAUAACUGAAGAAGAUCUCAACACAUUUCUGGAAGAGAGACUGUGGAUGCAGUGUGAUAGUGAAUAAAAGAGUGAAGGUA
This is a long non-coding RNA of Hyaena hyaena (striped hyena), 642 nucleotides long. RefSeq lists it as uncharacterized. NCBI's taxonomy places the organism in Eukaryota, Metazoa, Chordata, Mammalia, Carnivora, Hyaenidae. The record is from RefSeq and is a predicted model, not a curated record. The transcript is spliced from 4 exons.